Molecule: unclassified non-coding RNA, 433 nt
Filed under: soil metagenome
Description: partial contains 5.8S ribosomal RNA, internal transcribed spacer 2, and large subunit ribosomal RNA
Rfam family: 5.8S ribosomal RNA (bases 1-120)
Source: RNAcentral
GAUGAAGAACGUAGCGAAAUGCGAUACGUAAUGUGAAUUGCAGAAUUCAGUGAAUCAUCGAAUCUUUGAACGCAUAUUGCGCUCUCUGGUAUUCCGGAGAGCAUGCUUGUUUGAGUAUCAGUAAACACCUCAACUUCCAUAUCUUUUUUGAAAUGGGAGUUGGACUUGAGUGAUCCCAACGCUUUUCCUCACCGAAAAGUGGCGGGUUACUUGAAAUGCAGGUGCAGCUGGACUUUUCUCUGAGCUAUAAGCAUAUCUAUUUAGUCUGCCUAAAAAACAGAUUAUUACCUUUGCUGCAGCUAACAUAAAGGAGAUUAGUUCUUGUGCUGACUGAUGCAGGAUUCACAAAGACAGGCUUCGGCCGAAUUUGUAAACUCGAUCUCAAAUCAAGUAAGACUACCCGCUGAACUUAAGCAUAUCAAUAAGCGGAGGA